RNAcentral lists this transfer RNA (75 nucleotides) under Candidatus Peribacteria bacterium. RNAcentral describes it as "tRNA-Arg". It matches the Rfam family "tRNA". Rfam says of the family: Transfer RNA (tRNA) molecules are approximately 80 nucleotides in length. Their secondary structure includes four short double-helical elements and three loops (D, anti-codon, and T loops). Further hydrogen bonds mediate the characteristic L-shaped molecular structure. tRNAs have two regions of fundamental functional importance: the anti-codon, which is responsible for specific mRNA codon recognition, and the 3' end, to which the tRNAs corresponding amino acid is attached (by aminoacyl-tRNA synthetases). tRNAs cope with the degeneracy of the genetic code in two manners: having more than one tRNA (with a specific anti-codon) for a particular amino acid; and 'wobble' base-pairing, i.e. permitting non-standard base-pairing at the 3rd anti-codon position. Lineage: Bacteria; Candidatus Peregrinibacteriota; Candidatus Peribacteria. The record is from RNAcentral.
GCCCCCGUAGGCUAAUGGAUAGACUGUCGGCUUCCGGAGCCGAAGAUACAGGUUCGAUUCCUGUCGGGGGUACCA